This 21-nucleotide microRNA is filed under the name Vriesea carinata. Its description in RNAcentral is "vca-miR528-3p". Its record names the gene vca-miR528-3p. The record is from miRBase by way of RNAcentral. Lineage: Eukaryota; Viridiplantae; Streptophyta; Magnoliopsida; Poales; Bromeliaceae.
UUUCCUGUGCUCGCCCCUUCC